RNAcentral lists this ribosomal RNA (253 nucleotides) under uncultured bacterium. RNAcentral describes it as "partial 16S ribosomal RNA". It matches the Rfam family "Bacterial small subunit ribosomal RNA", at positions 524 to 776 of the family's 1533-position model. The record is from RNAcentral.
UACGGGGGGGGCAAGCGUUGUUCGGAAUUACUGGGCGUAAAGGGCGCGUAGGCGGCCAACUAAGUCAGACGUGAAAUCUCUCGGCUUAACCGGGGAACUGCGUCUGAUACUGGAUGGCUUGAGUUUGGGAGAGGGAUGCGGAAUUCCAGGUGUAGCGGUGAAAUGCGUAGAUAUCUGGAGGAACACCGGUGGCGAAGGCGGCAUCCUGGACCAACGCUGACACUGAGGAGCGAAAGCCAGGGGAGCAAACGGG